AUCCUGGCUCAGGAUGAACGCUAGCGGCAGGCUUAACACAUGCAAGUCGAGGGGCAGCAUGAGGGUUAGCAAUAACCUUUGAUGGCGACCGGCGCAAGGGUGCGUAACGCGUGAGCAACUUGCCCGUUUCUGGGGGAUAACCGGUGGAAACGCCGACUAAUACCCCAUAGUAUUGAUUUCAGGCAUCUGUUAUCAAUUAAAGAAUUUCGGAAACGGAUAGGCUCGCGUGACAUUAGCUAGAUGGCGGGGUAACGGCCCACCAUGGCUACGAUGUCUAGGGGUUCUGAGAGGAAGGUCCCCCACACUGGAACUGAGACACGGUCCAGACUCCUACGGGAGGCAGCAGUGAGGAAUAUUGGUCAAUGGUCUGACGACUGAACCAGCCAUGCCGCGUGAAGGUGACGGCCCUAUGGGUCUUAAACUUCUUUUGUAAGGGAGCAAUAAGUCUUACGUGUAGGAUGAUGAGAGUACCUUACGAAUAAGCAUCGGCUAACUCCGUG
Molecule: ribosomal RNA, 500 nt
Filed under: uncultured bacterium
Lineage: Bacteria
Description: bacterial SSU rRNA
Rfam family: Bacterial small subunit ribosomal RNA
Source: RNAcentral